Long non-coding RNA from Felis catus (domestic cat), 3738 nucleotides. RefSeq lists it as uncharacterized. Lineage: Eukaryota; Metazoa; Chordata; Mammalia; Carnivora; Felidae. The record is from RefSeq and is a predicted model, not a curated record. The transcript has 3 exons.
CUCUCUCUGCCCCUCCCCCGUUCAUGCUCUGUCUCUCUCUGUCUCAAAAAUAAAUAAACGUUAAAAAAAAAAUAAAAAAAAAUAACAAGGGAAAGAAUAAACACAGAAAGAGAUUCUGACACUUUCUUUUGCACCCCACCGGGGGCGACUCCGUGUUUCCCCUGGGAUGUCCCACCCCUUCUCGGGACGUUCCCGGUCUGAGGUCGGAGGUGGUGACGGGUGACCCCAGAGUGCACAGGAGGGCCCGAGGGAACCUCGUCCGAGAAAAGCCAUUUGUUACUGUCCCUUUGUCCCACUCACACCCCGCGCUGGGCCCGGGACACAAACUCCCCGUUCUGCGCCCCCCCCCCGCCCCCCACCGCUGCAGCCCUGGCAGUCACUGCCGUCUUUUGUCGCUGUGAGUUAAGCGCUCUAGGUACCUCACGUGGGUGCAGUCAGACGGUAUCCGGCUUCUGACGUCCGGCUCUUUCGCCGAGCGUGAUGUCUUCAAGGUUGGUCCGUGUUGUGGCCGAGUGGCAGCCCGUCGCCUGCACGCACCACGUUUGGUCGUCCAUUCGCCUGGUGACGGGCACCCGGGUUCUCUUCACCCGUCAGCCACCGCGAGUCAUCUGCUGGGAACACGGGUGCGCAAAUAUCCCUUCGAGUCCCUGCUUCCCAUUCCCGGUGCCUUCUAGAGAGAGAGAGAGAGAGAGAGAGCGUUUGGACAAGUUUUUCCCAUGGUUUGGGAAUCACGGGUUUGUGGAUUACCGCGUGCCACGAGGACCGUCAUCGACGCGUACAGACUUCUCUGGGGACCAGAGCUAACGUUUACUGAGGAUCCCUGGAGGGGCUGAGACAAUGGCUUUGGCUCUUUUCACUCCUCAUGACCGUCUUCCUGAGUGGAUGUCAUCACCCCGUAGUACAGAUGCGCAAACGGAGCCUGGGUUGCUGAGGGUCUCACGGGAGCUGAGGGUCCGGGGGCCCCGACUCUGCACCCUCCUUUUUGGCACUUUUCACGGCAGCGCACUGGUUUUGUGUGCGUGUCAUAAGCUCGCUACGUCAAGUUGGCAAGACCCCCCCCCCCCCGGGGUCAGGACCACGCUUCCUCCUUCUCCUGCGUCUCCCACUCGGGCUGGAACUUGGACGAUGCUCAACGAAUGCUCUUAAAUCAGCGCCUCUGAGUUCUGAUGUCAGAGGAGUGGUCUCAGGACCCCCCCCGUUGUGUCCUUGUGCCAUUCUGCUGCCUGGAGGCACCCCUCUCACUCUCAGACGCGCCCUUUGGGGCCCAGCCUGGGGGCUCUUCUCAGGACCGCCCCGCACACCCUGUCCUGCAUGCUUGCGGCUCUCUGUUGGAGCUCACCUCUCCGUGGGACGGUCAUGAUAGGCAAAACUGUGCACCAAUGGACUUCCCGAGGAGGAAAUAUGCUCCCUGUCAGCAAAAGGAGGCAAGUGGAGGCUGGGUGGCUCUGGAACCCGAAGCAAUCAGCCCUAGGACCCGAAGCCAGAAGAUGUAAAGAUUCAGGGGAGUCCUCCCCAGGGUUGGGGUGGGCCAGGCCCUGGAACUUGGAGUAGGCAUGGGUCACCCGUCUGACCAGACCCAGGCAACAGAAGCCAUGGCUCCAGUCCCUGGGUCCAAAGGCUUCUGGGACUUGGCCAAGCAGCCAUAUUGGGCCUCUGGACCUAUGAACCACAGACGAGGCCUGGGAGACAGGAAAUGGCCCUGCUCAGGGCCCAAAAGCCCCCUUAGCAUACCCUCACUCCCUCCCCGCCUCCCACAGUGGCCUCAGGCCCCUGCGCCCCGCGCCCAUGGGGUUAAAUCUCUCCCUGUCUCUCUCUGCUCCAAGUUGUUUUCCAAGUGAAGCAGAGAAUGGUUCUCUUGUUACCAACAUGGCUUCUGGGCAUUGGGUAAUGCGCUCCCUCUUCUCCCUGCUCCGCUCCACAAAGGGACCUUUUGUUCCUCUCCCUGCCCCUCUCUCUGGCUCUUCCCCGGCCCCCCACCCACCCCAACUCCCUCCUCCCUGCCUCCCGCCCCACACUGCACCCCUGGGCUGUGAGGAGUGACCAUGGUCUGGCUGUGGUGCCCUCCCUCUCUCAAGGCGCCCAGGGAGGAGAAGGGGCCUUGUGGCCGCGGCGGCCAUUUUGAGAGCGGCCAUUCCAGGCGGUCCCGGGCUUCCGUGAGGCUUGCGGGGUUGGGGAGGCCACAGUGGGGUGGCUGGGGCUCAGCAGGAGGUCUUGUGGUGCACCUCCUGUCCUCCAGGGAGUGGGGGGAGGGACCCUCCCACCCACCACCCUGACCCGGGCCGCCUCCUUGCACUGAGACAAGACACCUUCCCAUCCACCAUCUCGCUUGACCCGCACAGCAGCCCAAGGGGCGGGAGUGACACCCCGUCUUCCACAGGUGGAGACUGAGGCUCAGCGGGGUAAGUGUCCUUCCCCACCAGGGGCUCAGUGAGCAGGUGCUGCAGCUAGACGGAGCUGCGUGCUCCUCCCCUGAAACCUCUCCAGGAAAGAGCCCUCAGAAUGUGCCCUGACCCAUGGGACACGCCGUGAUGGAUCUGGGCCACCAGAGGAAGCCUAAAACCAAAUUUACUGGAGUCUUUUUUGCAAACGGAACAGAUUGUGCCCGAGAUGGGAGUGUCAGGAAGCCAGUCAGAUACUGAAGUGUCUGCUCUCAAGGGAAGACGGUCUCUGUCCACUGUCCCCUCCCUUGCCUCCUCACAACAGGCCUGCAAGGCAGGCAGGGACAGGCUGACGACAACAUUUUUCAGAUGAGGAAACAGGCCCAAAGAGGAUCCAGGGCCAGGACUCGGCGCUCACCCGGUUAGAUUCCAGCUCUGGUUGUUGUCUCUUUCCGGGGCCGCUCCCCACCCCUCGAGAGGCCCAGGGACUCGGGGAGGGGACUGAGCUGGGUCCCAGCAGUCCCAGCCACCCCAUCGGCAACCACAGGAGCCAGAGCCCUGAGGAUGUUGUAUUCAGGUGCCUCAAACAUCCAUCGAUUCCCCCAUCACACUCCGUCCCUGUGUCUACAGAGAUGUGAAACAGAGCACCCGCGUGUGCCCGUGAUGUAUAUUCCCCUGUGACCACUGAGCUGGGUCUGGGGCCUUCGGGCCACUGCGAGAAGUAAAAUGGGUAGAUUGGGGAUGGGUGGAUGGGCAGCUGGGGGGAACAGAGAGGGCACGAAGAUUUAUCCAGAGCUGAAUACACCCCCCUGGGCCUGCCCUCAGGGAGCCACAGUCCAGGAGGAGAGCUACAUCCGUAGAGAGCCAGUGGGCUGUCAGAGAGGGGGCCUGGGAGCUCACCGCUGGCUGGGAGGUUGAGGCAGGAAGGCUUCUUGGAGCCGGGGACCGAGGACAGAGCCUGAAAAGACGAGGAUAAGUUAACCAGGCAACGAAAUUGAGACGGAAGGUUGGAAAGGAGCUGGCAGAGGGGGUGGGGCUGGGGCUGAGAAGGAGGUGAAUGGUGUGCGAUGGGGUAAAGAGGCUACCCGUGUGCCAGAGCAGAGUGGGGACGGGGAAGGUGGAAGAGGUGGGUAGGGGGAGGAACCACGUGGGCUGCCGAGGGUAAGUCAGGGGGGCUCCUGCUGUGGAUGCCCCGAUAAGGUACACGGACGAGGUCUCGAGGGAUAGUGGGGUGGUCGCUGAAGGAUUUUAAAGGGGUCAGGGCUGGGUCUGUGCCAGUCUGGUUUAUUACUGUUUUCCCAGCGCCCGGCUCAGUGCCCGGCAUACAGCAGGCGCUCAAUAAAUGUUUUGGAUCAAUGCA